RNAcentral lists this ribosomal RNA (486 nucleotides) under uncultured bacterium. RNAcentral describes it as "partial 16S ribosomal RNA". It matches the Rfam family "Bacterial small subunit ribosomal RNA", at positions 30 to 507 of the family's 1533-position model. The record is from RNAcentral.
AUUGAACGCUGGCGGCAUGCCUUACACAUGCAAGUCGAACGGCAGCACGGGUGCUUGCACCUGGUGGCGAGUGGCGAACGGGUGAGUAAUACAUCGGAACAUGUCCUGUAGUGGGGGAUAGCCCGGCGAAAGCCGGAUUAAUACCGCAUACGAUCUACGGAUGAAAGCGGGGGACCUUCGGGCCUCGCGCUAUAGGGUUGGCCGAUGGCUGAUUAGCUAGUUGGUGGGGUAAAGGCCUACCAAGGCGACGAUCAGUAGCUGGUCUGAGAGGACGACCAGCCACACUGGGACGGAGACACGGCCCAGACUACUACGGGAGGCAGCAGUGGGGAAUUUUGGACAAUGGGCGAAAGCCUGAUCCAGCAAUGCCGCGUGUGUGAAGAAGGCCUUCGGGUUGUAAAGCACUUUUGUCCGGAAAGAAAUCCUUGGCCCUAAUACGGUCGGGGGAUGACGGUACCGGAAGAAUAAGCACCGGCUAACUACGUG